UAUACGAAACAGCCUACGGGAAAACAAGACCAGUGUCACUCAAAAAUAACUUCACAAAUUUCACGAGUAAUUUGUGAAAAACACUCUCCAUUUACUCCUAUGAGAAGCCCCUCUCACAAUACUUUCACGAAAAAUUCCCUGUAUAGUCAAAUCAGGUCAUACGAAGCAAUUUUUUGAAAUAGACAUUACGGGUCUUCCGAAAAACUAUCAUUGAUAAUUUUUCGUAUAAUAAAAACAAAGCUCCAUGAAGAUUUCUGACUUCUACUUUUUACUUCCCUCGGUUACAUCUUAGCAGGAAAUCGCCUCGCAACCAAAUCCACAAGGGUUUUGCGUAGAGCCUCUUAAAAUUUGGCACCCUCGGAUAAAAAGGAAACAAUUUUAUACGAAUAAAGGAAACAACAGUACACGAAACAUUCAUCGUAUAACUUAAACCCAAAGUGGAAGCUCGUUUUAAAACAACCAUCAACCAUAACACGGAAAAACUCCGCUAUACUUGGCCUAUCAAUCUCGACAAACGCUAUUUGGCCCUCGGCCAACUACGCCUCCCCGUAAAACCUGAACCAGAAUUCAGCAUCCUCUUUGAGGAUAAUCGUAUGACAAAAGUUCCAUGGUCUGGUCCUUUACCAACAACGUCCUUGGCCAUACGGCUGAACACAGUCUUCAUCCAAGCCAUAAUAAUUAAGCGACCAC
This 690-nucleotide long non-coding RNA is filed under the name Brassica napus (rape). Its description in RNAcentral is "long non-coding RNA (BNAP_LNC013939)". The record is from RNAcentral. Lineage: Eukaryota; Viridiplantae; Streptophyta; Magnoliopsida; Brassicales; Brassicaceae.